UGAGGAAUAUUGGUCAAUGGGCGCAAGCCUGAACCAGCCAUCCCGCGUGCAGGAAGACGGCGCUAUGCGUUGUAAACUGCUUUUCUAGGGAGAGAAACUUGCGCACGUGUUGCGCAAUUGACGGUACCCUGGGAAUAAGCAUCGGCUAACUCCGUGCCAGCAGCCGCGGUAAUACGGAGGAUGCGAGCGUUAUCCGGAUUCAUUGGGCUUAAAGGGUGCGUAGGCGGACUAUUAGGUCAGUGGUGAAAUCCUGCAGCUUAACUGCAGAACUGCCAUUGAUACUGAUAGCCUUGAGUUUGGUUAAGGUAGGCGGAAUGUGUAAUGUAGCGGUGAAAUGCUUAGAUAUUACACAGAACACCAAUUGCGUAGGCAGCUUACUGAGCCGACACUGACGCUGAGGCACGAAAGCGUGGGGAUCGAACAG
RNAcentral lists this ribosomal RNA (424 nucleotides) under uncultured bacterium. RNAcentral describes it as "bacterial SSU rRNA". It matches the Rfam family "Bacterial small subunit ribosomal RNA", at positions 355 to 775 of the family's 1533-position model. The record is from RNAcentral.